GAAGAACCUUACCUGGUCUUGACAUCCGCGGAAGUUUUCAGAGAUGAGAAUGUUCCUUCGGGAACCGUGAGACAGGUGCUGCAUGGUUGUCGUCAGCUGGUGUUGUGAAAUGUUGGGUUAAGUCCCGCAACGAGCGCAACCCUUAUCCUUUGUUGCCAGCGGUCCGGCCGGGAACUCAAAGGAGACUGCCAGUGAUAAACUGGAGGAAGGUGGGGAUGACGUCAAGUCAUCAUGGCCCUUACGACCAGGGCUACACACGUGUUACAAUGGYCGCAUACAAAGAGAAGCGACCUCGCGAGAGCAACCGGACCCUCAUAAAGUGCGUCGUAGUCCGGAUUGGAGUCUGCAACUCGACUCCAUGAAGUCGGAAUCGCUAGUAAUCG
Molecule: ribosomal RNA, 383 nt
Filed under: bacterium enrichment culture DGGE gel band N3
Lineage: Bacteria
Description: bacterial SSU rRNA
Rfam family: Bacterial small subunit ribosomal RNA
Source: RNAcentral